Toxotes jaculatrix (banded archerfish) is the source of this 3830-nucleotide long non-coding RNA. RefSeq lists it as uncharacterized. NCBI's taxonomy places the organism in Eukaryota, Metazoa, Chordata, Actinopteri, Toxotidae. The record is from RefSeq and is a predicted model, not a curated record. The transcript is spliced from 2 exons.
CGCAAUUUGCUUACACGUGAACAUCAAAUGCGUUUAUACUUGCUAAAAAAAAAUACAGAUGACAUAACGUGAAGAUGCUGUCUCACAGUUUAAGAUGUGAACAAACUGAAGACACCUCACUGACUCAGUGCUUUACCACAGACAAACACCACGGUACAAUUUCUGCCAAGACACAAUUAUCAAAAGGCCGAGUCUGCAGCGGGGAGUCGAGCCACCGAGCCCUUGGCACUUGCUUUGUGCCGUGCCAAUAAAAGCUGACACCCAGUAGACCAUUACUGGCAGCCAUGCAUGAGAUGGGAUGAGGCGCGCGAGGAGAGUGGACCGUUCAUUGUUUAUUUAUUUCAUUCUCACUGAGGAAGCUGAUGGGGGGGACUCCUCACUUGCAUAUUGGACAGCUCCCCUUCUGUCACCUGUUCUGGCACGCUGAAGCAGUCCAUGAAAUUAACACAACUCUUUUCUUUCCCAUAUAAUGAGGUUUUUUUUCUACUUCUCUAUAAUCUUGCAUCCAUUUGACUCUACUCUUUCUCUUCAGUAAUGGUCCCUGUAGAGUCAGACCCUCCUGUCCUAACCCCAUCACAUCAGCAGGUGUCCAGAAUCAGGAUUAUGCCUGAACCUGAGAAAAUAGUUUCUUUUUUUUUUUUUUUCAACAUUUUACUCUUUGUUACUUUCUGUUUUAGGAUGCAGUUAAACUGAAUGUAUCCUCCCUGAGUCAGUGUCUCAGUCCUGCUGCUCAUCACCGUACAGACGUGCAUUAUUUUCACUGAAAUGUGGUUUUCCCUCUGGUUUUGUGCGCAGGAGUGUAUAAGCCAACACUAUGCCACUGGCUCUGUGAGUCCAAACCCAUCAGAGAUAUUUUAGUUUCAGAUGCUUCCGUCAGUGUCAGAAUCCAACGAGACACUUGAACGUUAGAAAUUCAAAACUCCUUGAAAGUGACUUGAAACUGAGAUACACAACAUCAAAUGUAAAUUAGUAAACUGUCACCGCACUCUAAGCCUGUACUGUCUGCAAGACGUUCAUCUGGAUAGGCUGCAAUGCUCCCUCGCUUGUUCCAUCAUUCACACUGAUAGUAUUAAGACAGUGCGUUCAACUACACCACAGCAGCCGCCGUGUAUCACUUAUACAGACCCUUUUAAAGUGUUUAAUAACUACUUUCCAAUUUUCAUAUAAUGCUAAUCUAAGUGUCAGUGUCUUGCACAAUUGUGUGGUUGAAUCCAGAGAAUGAUGGGCCCCCAUAUAUUGUUGGAAAUUAUUAAAAGAAAUAUAAAUUGUGGAUUAAUAUUGAUGGAAAUUCUAAAUAAAUAAUGAGUUACACCUCUGGUUUGGAUAAAAUAACUCACCCCUCAUUUUCAAAUAUGUCCUGUCAUUAUUCUCUCAUAUGAAUAUCUGCUGGAGUGGAUCUUUGCUGUAAUUACUGUAUUUAAACUUAAAUCUUAUACUAUUAAGGCAGAGCUUUUCCCCUCCUGCACUGCAUAUAUUCACUGCAGCUGAAGUUGGGGGGGGGGUUUACACUCAGUUUCCCAGAAUAAGUGGUUAAUUCUCACAGUUUUCUCUGCUUCUGACUUUUUCUCCCAGUAUCCCACAGUCCUCAGGCCCCACAGAGUGGUCUUAUCUCAGGAGAGGCUGUGUGCUGGAUUGCUGAGUCACCUUUCAUGGGAGGCUGCCCUUAUCUCCUAAGAAGCACAACAUUCAGGCAGUUGGUUGCAAAAGGAGGAACUUUGGGCAGGAGCGCUGUGGCCUGCUGUGUCUUCAUGGCCAUAAUAUGGAUUGCAGCAAUGCUCGCUGACUUCCUCAAAGCCUCGCGACCAACACUGCUUCAUCUGUGAGGUCAGAUGCUAGAGUUUUCCUGACACUUGCAGGUACGAAAAAGCUGCAGGAUGGCCUACUUCUGAGGCCACACAGAGGGAAUGCCGGGACUGCAGUGUGACUCAGGGCUAUCAGCAAACACAGAGAUGUCCAAUCAUGACUCAGGUCUCCCAUGACCCAGAGAUACUGUUCCCCUUCGGUGACACAGCAGCUUCACUCACUGUGUUUCUAAGAGACAAAAUACUGUGAUGAUUGACAAUGAUUCAGUCAAGAUUUUGGAGAAGUUACUGCAAAAGUGGGAUCGAUACUCACCACUGGCUGCACUGCUGAUAAUGAUCCUAACGUCUGACUUAUACAAAGCAUGUAAAUUGUUAUUGGUCAGAAUUCUGCAAAGGGCUUCACAGGGUUUUAUAAAAGUGGUUAAUUCUGCAGCAUUUAAGAUUAUACCUCAUAUACAGGCUGCAAACCACAGCUACAAAUGAAGCUAAACAUAACCUUCUGCUCCCCCAGGUUAAUCCACAACCUGAAGCAAGCCAUGUUGCUGUAAUUAAUAUCAUUACCUGGCAAGUCUCAAAACAUCAUCAGGCAACGUAGCCGGUCGACUACCGAACAAUAGGCUCCGGCUGGUUCUUAUUUCAUGGAUCUUUAAGCAGUAUUCACUGUUUCACAUUUGGAAGCAUGAGCAGCAUGUAACCCUUAAUUGGUUUCAACACCUUAAUAAGUCAAAGACGUUCAAGACUGAUAAUCACAUUAAAUAGUCCAAUUUAUCUAAAAAGUCAAUUGCAAACUGAAAAACUCUCUUUCUUUAGGAAUGCAUUAUGCUGUGAGGAUGUCAGAGUAAAUUAAAUUCCCCUCUGCACACUAAAGCAUCAAUUUCCUUAUGGUAAUUAUCUGCUGGAAUAGACGUGUCACUAGAAGGAGUCAGGCAUGCUUGACAUUUAGCCUUUUUAUAGAGAGGCGAUGAGUAAAAAUUAAGAUGAGGAAAAGGAAAUUAAUCUCCAGCCCAGGCAGGCAUUGAGAGAUCCUAGAGGAUAGUGGCUGAAUCAAUCAUGAUGUUUGUGAGCCUGUUUUGAAAAGAAGCCAGUGAUGAGAUUCAGACCACAGGCUGGAAAAUCUGCAGAGGAGGGGGGCGUUUUUUAGCAAAUAGAGUUAUGAUUGCUGUGAGGAGGAUUGCUCAGUUUUAUUAGUCUUAAACACAACAAACAGCAUCUUAUAAUAUCCGUUUUAAAGCAACAUUUGGGGGAAUAUGUUUCCUUGCUGUCUUGCUGAGCGUUAGAUGAGAAGCUUGGUACCACUCUCACGUGUGUACGCUAAAUAUGAAGCUAUAGCCAGGAGGCCGUUAGCUUAGCAUUAAGACCGGGAAAAACUGGAAAUGGUUAGCUGAGCUUUAGAAGUGCUGGUUACCUGAUUCAUUCAAAAUUCAAAAUGUACAGUCUGUGAGUGUAUUAGACCAUUUUAAGUAAUUUUCCUUGUGAUCCAGCAGAUGGUGUAAAAUUUACUCUCAGCACGACCUAUUGCAUGCCUAUUGACAUAGUAAUUAACUAAACUAAUUAAUAAACUAACUAAUAAAUGAAAAUUGAAGAAGACACCAGCAAACAAAGUGCUGUGUGAUUAUCAGGACACCAGGCAGUGUAUGUUUCGGGUUCUUCACUGUAGAUGACAAUUACCAACAUUGACCCACUUUGUCUCAUGGUGAUAACAAAGCUGGGCACUCACCUGCCAGCUCGAGACCAGAGUGGCUGGAAUAUGCUAGAUGGGUUGUGUUUUAGUUAGUUAAUUAGUUUUAAUUAGUUCAAACAAAUUACACUCUAAUCCAAACUUGUUCAAACUUGACCUUUUGAAAACGUGACAGCCCUAUUUUGGUAAGAGGCCAGCUGGCUGUUUCCCUGCUUUCAGUCUUUAUGGUAAGCUAAGCUAACCAGCAGCUUGCUGUAGCUUCGUGUUUGGCGUGCAGACAUGAGUGGUAUCAAUCUUCUCAUCUUAACCUCAGCAAAAAAAAAAAAGCCAACAAGCUUGUUCCCCAACAC